UACACAACAAAAAAGCAUUGUCUUUCUCAGAUAAUGAGGAUUAAGGAGGAGGAGGAAGAGAUGGCUGCCGCUGGUGGUAGUCAGGUGGUGAAAGUGAAGAGGGAGAUCAUCGAGGCAUGCUUGAGUGCAGUCUUUGUAAUAAGGUGUCAAAGGAGGCUACAACCAUUUCAUUCUGCCUCCAUACGUUUUGCAGAAAGUGCAUCUUCGAUAAACUGUCAGAGGAGUAGGACAGAUGUCCAGUAUGUGAUACUUAUCUCGGCAAUUUGCCUGUGACAAAACUCAGGUGAUGUUCCUAUAUUCUAACGGUAAAUGCAUCGUGUCGCUGGUUCCUUGGGUUCAUUAUUAAGGAUUUACCAAAAUUUUUUAUUUCAUUCAUUUAUUAUUAUUAUUCUUUUAGGAAAACAUGGAAGGUACAAGAGAAAUUUAUUGAUAUGAAAAAAGAAGUUACACCUAGUCAGGAGGGGACAUAAACCUUACCCCUCCUUGAGCAAGAAAAAUGAAAUACAAGAAAAGAGGGGAGACAUAAACCUUAUCCCUUUUGAAAGUAAAUAUCCUACAGAAAUGCAAUUAGUGGACUCGAAUACGUAUAUAGUACUGUUAGUCACAUUACCUUCCUUCCCAAAGUUAAGUACCAUAGGGCAGAUAAUUCUAUUCUUGGAAAAAAAAAAAAAAAAAAAGAGUACCGUAGGGAAGAUAAUAAAUCGAUGCCUGUUUAUUAUCGAUUAGCAACAGGAAAAGAAACAGAUUUGGAAAAUGGUUCUGGAAAAAAUCAUGACCUAAUUGUGGUUUUGCAUUGAAAAUUGUUAACAAAUUUAAAAUUUCUGUAACUAAGGUUUCUUCUUGCACAUUGUCAUAUGACUUUACGCAAGUGCGUAGUUUUUUUCGUUGUACUAGUUUUUCGAUCAUAAUGUUGCAAAUGUGUGCGGGAGCUUUACGUUGAAAUGUUCUUAAUUACACGUGUUAAAUGAUCUGCAGUCCAGACCAUAUUUUGCAAAAUUAUAGCCAAGAUAUAUUUCCCGUUAAAAGGAAGAAAGUCGAUGCACCGGAAGUUAGGGAGCACGAAGCUAAUAAUCCUGAUGUUACACCUUCCUCAUUAGGAGGAUGCCGUUUUUCUGCUGAAGAACCUCUAGAAAUAGAUGAUUCUGCAGAAGAUUAUCCAGUGAGCUCCUGCGCAUGCAAUGACCUCUCAAAAUAAGUUGCUAGUAAACGGGGAUGGAUGACUGGAUUGAAGAGUAGGUCAAGAAGUGCAAAGCAGGCAACAUGAUCCAAGGAUUGCAAAUUAGGGUUUUGGCAUCAGAAUUAGGGUUAUAAUAUGUCAUUUUCAAAAGAACUGUGUGUAGGUAGCUUUGCUCCUGACAUAGGGAUAACUUUGGCAGUUUGUUAAUUGUUUAUUUUGUUUUCUCUUUAACUUUUUCUUAUGGGUUUGGUUUUAUGUUUUGGAUGUAUAAAUACACCGCUUGGGUGUUAGAAUUGUCAUCUUUUCGACUAUUAUUCAAUAAACUUGAAUUUACUCAA
Molecule: long non-coding RNA, 1515 nt
Organism: Pyrus x bretschneideri (Chinese white pear)
Lineage: Eukaryota; Viridiplantae; Streptophyta; Magnoliopsida; Rosales; Rosaceae
Exons: 3
Source: RefSeq, a predicted model, not a curated record